GAUGAAGAACGUAGCGAAAUGCGAUAAGUAGUGUGAAUUGCAGAAUUCAGUGAAUCAUCGAAUCUUUGAACGCACAUUGCGCCCUUUGGUAUUCCUUAGGGCAUGCCUGUUCGAGCGUCAUUUAAACCUUCAAGCUAAGCUUGGUGUUGGGUGACUGUCCGCUUCACGGCGGACUCGCCUCAAAAUUAUUGGCGGCCGGUACAUUGGCUUCGAGCGCAGCAGAAACGCGAACUCGGGCCCGUCGUAUUGGCUCCCAGAAGCUAUCUUCACAAUUUUGACCUCGGAUCAGGUAGGGAUACCCGCUGAACUUAAGCAUAUAAAUAAGCGGAGGA
Molecule: unclassified non-coding RNA, 332 nt
Filed under: soil metagenome
Description: partial contains 5.8S ribosomal RNA, internal transcribed spacer 2, and large subunit ribosomal RNA
Rfam family: 5.8S ribosomal RNA (bases 1-120)
Source: RNAcentral